Non-coding RNA from Saimiri boliviensis boliviensis (Bolivian squirrel monkey), 714 nucleotides. Lineage: Eukaryota; Metazoa; Chordata; Mammalia; Primates; Cebidae. The record is from RefSeq and is a predicted model, not a curated record.
CAAUUGAUCUUGUCUGGAAUAAUCUUGUUUUUAUGUAAAAUUUCAAGCUGGUGAUGACAUGUUUAAAAGGAAAAGUGCUGCAAGCUGUAAAUGCUGCUCAGUUUGCAUUCCAUUACAUGAGCAUAUCUAAAUGAUCCUCUUUAGCCCAGGAAUUCAAUACGAUGUUGGAAAACAAGACUUCCACUCUAAUAGAAUGUAAAAAUGAUCAUCUAUUUAAGUCAUUCUGAUUUCUUUUAAUUGCAUCACAAUCCACUGUAAAGAUUUGCUCUGAUCCUAAUAUUUAAAAUUUUCUGCUUUUCUUCUGCUUUUCUCUCCCACAAAUUGGGUGUUUUAUUCUUUUUCCUACUUAUUAAACUUACACCAUUCUAUGUUGAGCACAGAAAGGUGGAAGUAUACAAUCCUGUUCUCUCUUUUCAAUGCUCUGAAUCUUAUUGUUUCCUUUUCUGCAGAAUCAGUUUUUCAUUAUCCUUAUAAGGAGAUGCAUUUCUUUAAUCCUUCCUUAAAAUCAAACUUCUUUACCAAGUCAUUUAUUUUCCUUAUAGAAUGGUGGAUGUGACUGUUGUUAGUGUGUUGAUGGGUCCCUUUACAUCAGCAUUAUAACUUUUAGGUAUUAGCUUACUUCCAUGUGAUUAUUAUUUCUUAUAUCAUUGUGAACAUAUUUUUUCCAGAAAGAGGAUACAUAUUGAUCUAAAAGAAAUUUCCUCUAAAAGAAAA